RNAcentral lists this ribosomal RNA (444 nucleotides) under Triticum aestivum (bread wheat). RNAcentral's name for it is "partial small subunit ribosomal RNA". Lineage: Eukaryota; Viridiplantae; Streptophyta; Magnoliopsida; Poales; Poaceae. The record is from RNAcentral.
AUGGCGACGGACAUGUUGACCAUAUACCUGCACUAUGAAGAUACAAAUCAGGAAGCCAAAAUUUUACAAAGAUCGAUUAUGAAACAUGAUGUCUCGUAUUAUGACUUAAUGUUGAUGACCGAACAAGUUGGCUUUCAGGCAAUUGACUUUUUGUACUAUGCAAAAAAAACCCGUCUAGGCAGCUCCUACUUAGUUCACAUUUAUGAUGAAGGUCUUGUGAUGAAAAUGUUGUCUGAACCUGAGAUUGUGAAAGUUGUCCAUCUGUAUGUGUCUAAGGAGAAGACUGACGAUCAUAUUGCUCUGCCUAGCAAGCAAAUUGAUAUUGCUCCAUCUAACCAUCCAACCGAGAGUGUUCUCUUACAGGACGUGGUGUCUCUGCUGAAGGGGCAGGGCAACUUACUAUGCAAGGGCCGCAAAGACCAUUACGUAGGUCAAAAAGGUUGA